AGUGAACGCUGGCGGUAGGCCUAACACAUGCAAGUCGAACGGCAGCACAGUAAGAGCUUGCUCUUACGGGUGGCGAGUGGCGGACGGUUGAGGAAUACAUCGGAAUCUACUUUUUCGUGGGGGAUAACGUAGGGAAACUUACGCUAAUACCGCAUACGACCUACGGGUGAAAGCAGGGGAUCUUCGGACCUUGCGCGAUUGAAUGAGCCGAUGUCGGAUUAGCUAGUUGGCGGGGUAAAGGCCCACCAAGGCGACGAUCCGUAGCUGGUCUGAGAGGAUGAUCAGCCACACUGGAACUGAGACACGGUCCAGACUCCUACGGGAGGCAGCAGUGGGGAAUAUUGGACAAUGGGCGCAAGCCUGAUCCAGCCAUACCGCGUGGGUGAAGAAGGCCUUCGGGUUGUAAAGCCCUUUUGUUGGGAAAGAAAAGCAGCAGGUUAAUACCCCGCUGUUCUGACGGUACCCAAAGAAUAAGCACCGGCCAACUUCGUG
RNAcentral lists this ribosomal RNA (492 nucleotides) under uncultured bacterium. RNAcentral describes it as "partial 16S ribosomal RNA". It matches the Rfam family "Bacterial small subunit ribosomal RNA", at positions 29 to 507 of the family's 1533-position model. The record is from RNAcentral.